GGACGGGUGAGUAACGCGUGAGUAACCUGCCUUACACAAGGGGAUAGCCGUUGGAAACGACGAAUAAUACCCUAUGAAACUAUCACUUCGCAUGAAGCGAUAGUCAAAGUGUUAGCGGUGUAAGAUGGACUUGCGUCUGAUUAGCUAGUUGGUGAGAAAAAAGCCCACCAAGGCAACGAUCAGUAGCCGGCUUGAGAGAGUGUACGGCCACAUUGGGACUGAGACACGGCCCAG
Molecule: ribosomal RNA, 234 nt
Filed under: uncultured Eubacteriales bacterium
Lineage: Bacteria; Bacillati; Bacillota; Clostridia; Eubacteriales
Description: uncultured Clostridiales bacterium partial 16S ribosomal RNA
Rfam family: Bacterial small subunit ribosomal RNA
Source: RNAcentral